AAACUUUCAACAACGGAUCUCUUGGUUCUCGCAUCGAUGAAGAACGCAGCGAAACGCGAUAGUUAAUGUGAAUUGCAGAAUUCAGUGAAUCAUCGAGUCUUUGAACGCACAUUGCGCCCAUUGGUAUUCCAUUGGGCAUGUCUGUUUGAGCGUCAUUA
RNAcentral lists this ribosomal RNA (158 nucleotides) under Dactylella bolusanthi. Its description in RNAcentral is "5.8S ribosomal RNA". It matches the Rfam family "5.8S ribosomal RNA". Rfam says of the family: 5.8S ribosomal RNA (5.8S rRNA) is a component of the large subunit of the eukaryotic ribosome. It is transcribed by RNA polymerase I as part of the 45S precursor that also contains 18S and 28S rRNA. Functionally, it is thought that 5.8S rRNA may be involved in ribosome translocation. The record is from RNAcentral. Lineage: Eukaryota; Fungi; Ascomycota; Orbiliomycetes; Orbiliales; Orbiliaceae.